CCUGUCCUACGGGAGGCAGCAGUGGGGAAUAUUGGGCAAUGGGCGCAAGCCUGACCCAGCAACGCCGCGUGAAGGAAGAAGGCCCUCGGGUUGUAAACUUCUUUUAACAGGGACGAAGAAAGUGACGGUACCUGUUGAAUAAGCCACGGCUAACUACGUGCCAGCAGCCGCGGUAAUACGUAGGGGGCAAGCGUUAUCCGGAUUUACUGGGUGUAAAGGGCGUGUAGGCGGGAGAGGAAGUCAGACGUGAAAUUCCAGGGCUCAACCCCGGAACUGCGUUUGAAACUGGUCUUCUUGAGUGAUGG
RNAcentral lists this ribosomal RNA (305 nucleotides) under uncultured bacterium. RNAcentral describes it as "bacterial SSU rRNA". It matches the Rfam family "Bacterial small subunit ribosomal RNA", at positions 333 to 652 of the family's 1533-position model. The record is from RNAcentral.